This 113-nucleotide ribosomal RNA is filed under the name Acanthosepion pharaonis. The record is from RNAcentral. Lineage: Eukaryota; Metazoa; Mollusca; Cephalopoda; Sepiida; Sepiidae.
UUACGGUCAAAUCACGCUGAAACACCUGUUCUCGUUCGAUCACCGAAGUUAAGCAUCGUAGAGCCAGGUCAGUACUUAGAUGGGGGACCGCUUGGGAACACCUGGUACUGUAA